RNAcentral lists this ribosomal RNA (253 nucleotides) under uncultured bacterium. Its description in RNAcentral is "partial 16S ribosomal RNA". It matches the Rfam family "Bacterial small subunit ribosomal RNA", at positions 524 to 776 of the family's 1533-position model. The record is from RNAcentral.
UACGUAGGGUGCAAGCGUUGUCCGGAUUUAUUGGGUUUAAAGGGUGCGUAGGCGGCCUUGUAAGUCAGUGCUGAAAUAUCCCGGCUUAACCGGGAGGGUGGCAUUGAUACUGCAGGGCUUGAGUUAAGUUGAAGUUGGCGGAAUUGACGGUGUAGCGGUGAAAUGCUUAGAUAUCGUCAAGAACACCGAUAGUGAAGGCAGCUAACUAAACUUUUACUGACGCUGAGGCACGAAAGUGUGGGGAUCAAACAGG